RNAcentral lists this ribosomal RNA (354 nucleotides) under uncultured bacterium. RNAcentral's name for it is "partial 16S ribosomal RNA". It matches the Rfam family "Bacterial small subunit ribosomal RNA", at positions 338 to 709 of the family's 1533-position model. The record is from RNAcentral.
CCUACGGGAGGCAGCAGUGGGGGAUAUUGCACAAUGGGGGAAACCCUGAUGCAGCGACGCCGCGUGGGGGAAGAAGCGCCUCGGCGCGUAAAGCCCUGUCAGCAGGGAAGAAAAUGACGGUACCUGAAGAAGAAGCCCCGGCUAACUACGUGGCAGCAGCCGCGGUAAUACGUAGGGGGCAAGCGUUCUCCGGAUUUACUGGGUGUAAAGGGGGCGCAGGCGGGGAUGCAAGCAAGGAGUGAAAGCCCGGGGCACAACCCGGGGACUGCGCUUGGAAGUGUGUGGCUGGAGUGAAGUAGGGGCAGGCGGAAUUCCUGGUGUAGCGGUGAAAGGCGUAGAAAUUAGGAGGAACAC